This 943-nucleotide ribosomal RNA is filed under the name Fuscospina nigrescens. RNAcentral's name for it is "Lycoperdon nigrescens partial large subunit ribosomal RNA". It matches the Rfam family "Eukaryotic large subunit ribosomal RNA", at positions 34 to 968 of the family's 3401-position model. The record is from RNAcentral. Lineage: Eukaryota; Fungi; Basidiomycota; Agaricomycetes; Agaricales; Lycoperdaceae.
CUAGCAUAUCAAUAAGCGGAGGAAAAGAAACUAACAAGGAUUCCCCUAGUAACUGCGAGUGAAGCGGGAAAAGCUCAAAUUUAAAAUCUGGCAGUCUCUGGCUGUCCGAGUUGUAAUCUAGAGAAGUGAUGCCCGCGCUGGACCGUGUACAAGUCUCCUGGAAUGGAGCGUCAUAGAGGGUGAGAAUCCCGUCUCUGACACGGACUACCAGGGCUUUGUGGUAUCCUCUCAAAGAGUCGAGUUGUUUGGGAAUGCAGCUCUAAAUGGGUGGUAAAUUCCAUCUAAAGCUAAAUAUUGGCGAGAGACCGAUAGCGAACAAGUACCGUGAGGGAAAGAUGAAAAGAACUUUGGAAAGAGAGUUAAACAGUACGUGAAAUUGCUGAAAGGGAAACGCUUGAAGUCAGUCGCGUUAGCUGGGAAUCAGCCUCGCUCUUGCGUGGUGUACUUUCUGGUUGACGGGUCAGCAUCAAUUUUGACUGCUGGAAAAAGGCUUAGGGAAUGUGGCAGCUUCGGCUGUGUUAUAGCCCUUGGUCACAUACAGCGGUUGGGAUUGAGGAACUCAGCACGCCGCAAGGCCGGGUUUCGACCACGUUCGUGCUUAGGAUGCUGGCAUAAUGGCUUUAAGCGACCCGUCUUGAAACACGGACCAAGGAGUCUAACAUGCCUGCGAGUGUUUGGGUGGUAAACCCGAGCGCGUAAUGAAAGUGAAAGUUGAGAUCCCUGUCGUGGGGAGCAUCGACGCCCGGACUUGAACUUUUGUGACGGAUCCGCGGUAGAGCAUGUAUGUUGGGACCCGAAAGAUGGUGAACUAUGCCUGAAUAGGGUGAAGCCAGAGGAAACUCUGGUGGAGGCUCGUAGCGAUUCUGACGUGCAAAUCGAUCGUCAAAUUUGGGUAUAGGGGCGAAAGACUAAUCGAAACCAUCUAGUAGCUGGUACUGCCGUU